This 505-nucleotide ribosomal RNA is filed under the name uncultured bacterium. RNAcentral's name for it is "partial 16S ribosomal RNA". It matches the Rfam family "Bacterial small subunit ribosomal RNA", at positions 28 to 507 of the family's 1533-position model. The record is from RNAcentral.
GACGAACGCUGGCGGCGUGCCUAAUACAUGCAAGUAGAACGCACAGUUUAUACCGUAGCUUGCUACACCAUAAACUGUGAGUUGCGAACGGGUGAGUAACGCGUAGGUAACCUGCCUGGUAGCGGGGGAUAACUAUUGGAAACGAUAGCUAAUACCGCAUAAUAUUAAUUAUUGCAUGAUAAUUGAUUGAAAGAUGCAAUUGCAUCACUACCAGAUGGACCUGCGUUGUAUUAGCUAGUAGGUGAGGUAACGGCUCACCUAGGCGACGAUACAUAGCCGACCUGAGAGGGUGCUCGGCCACACUGGGACUGCGACACGGCCCAGACUCCUACGGGAGGCAGCAGUAGGGAAUCUUCGGCAAUGGACGAAAGUCUGACCGAGCAACGCCGCGUGAGUGAAGAAGGUUUUCGGAUCGUAAAGCUCUGUUGUAAGAGAAGAACGGGUGUGAGAGUGGAAAGUUCACACUGUGACGGUAUCUUACCAGAAAGGGACGGCUAACUACGUG